CUGAUUUGAACCCUGCUUCGUGCUCUUGUUGACUCUCCAAUCUGCUACGGAAUUAGCAGCUACAGGCUAACGAUACCAUGUCUGCUCAUUUGCCCAUUUCAGCAGAGGCUAACAGGAGCAGCUAUGGUCUACUUAAGAAGGAUUUAAACAGUUUCAGCUGCAGUGUGUGUUUCUGUGCAGGGGAUCUCUCCCAAAAGUAUCACAACCAGACAGGUAGUUUGUAAGCAGCGCAUGGAAAACCCUUUGGCAAAGUGCAACUCUCCUGCGCGUGGGUCAUCGCAGCUUUAAGAGCCAGAGGAAAAUAACCGGCCCUGCCCUCCAUCAUCCUCUCAUCCCGCUGACCUCUGCGUACGGUAUAGUAUACUUACUGCACAUACGGGGGGGGUAGAAAAGAGAAUGAUUGCAUAUCUGAAGGCAUCAAGAGAGCAGAUAUGGAUGGCAGAGGAGUGACAUGGUUGGACACAUCUUUGCUUUCUUAUUAGUGAGGGCCUGUACGGACACUUUUGGCUUUUUUUUAUGGGGCCAUGAUGAAACCCCUCUUCGUGCAUCUGCGGAAAAUGGCCAGGGGAAAUCACAGAUGAGAAUCACUCAAAGACAGGGAGAUGUCAACAGGCCCAUAAUGAUAGCUGAUGGCCCCAGAACACUCUCCCCUUUUCCCUCUCAGCCUUACCUGCCCAAGUUGCACUACACUAGAAAACAUAAUUAGAGGUAAAACAGAGAGACGGAAGCUUUAUCUCUGUGUUUUCUGUAAGCAAUGCUCUUUGUUUUAUACAUCUGGGAGUCGUUUUUUUCCCUUCCCAAUCUCUCUUUCACUUCAUGGAGAGAGGGAGGAGGAGGAGGAGAGCUCCCUCUGUGAGAUGCCAAGGUGCUCCCAGUCCAUUGUGCUGCUGGCUGUCAGGUUAAAUUAGGGAGUACAGGCUCCGUGAGUGUAAAAAAAUCAAUACUUGAUGGAAGAUUGCUCCCCGGAAAAUCUGUUUUGAUUCCAGGAUUAAUUCUUGACCAAAGGCUCCAGCAAAAUGACAUGCCAUUAGCCUGAAAAUGAACACAUUCUGCAGUGGAAAUUGGAUGGAAAUGUGUCAGGUGAUUGCCCUGGCUGGUUGUUUUGACUCUUUGAGCGAGGGGGACUGAAGGUGUGGCUGCCGCGAAUGAGGCCUCCGGGCCGACUCCAUUUCCAGAACAGAGACAACUCCACCGUGGCCUCCGGGUAUUCUCAAGGCCAUUGUUGUCCAGCAGCUGCAAAUGCAUUCCACCAAGGUGAAAUGCAUUCGCCCGCCGUUCUGGCCUCUCCUGUGUUUUCCAUAAAGCAUGGCAUGAAGAAAGAGAAAAAUCUGAAAAUAAAACAAGGAUUUUUUUCUACCCUCUCCCUCUGUCUCUACUCAACAGUGAGAAGAAGGGAGGUGAGAUGCAUUAUUGAUGAGUGAAUAAUGUGUUUGUCAUGACGGAUGACAUUUUCUUGUUUGAAAACUUAAACAGGAAGCUGUAAAGAUGCACCGGACAGUGAUUUGAACAGCCGGAGCAUUCAGGCUGCACUAAACAUUUGUAUGAAUGCUCAAGUGUUUCACAGAAAAGAAACAACACAAAACAUGAUUUCUGACACAAACAUGUUUACUCACUGAAACGUUGGAUUUAUUUAUUUGAGAAGGCUUUUAUUUUUUGUCUAAAACAUGGAUGUGUCUUCAGAGUGGUGAUGUUUUAGUAACUGUUGUGUCUCCUGAUUGUUAUCUUUUCAUAAAAUGAGUUACUAAGCCAGUUUUAAGCUUUAAGACACUACAAUUUUAAAGAUAAUUCAAUGCAUUUGUGCUUAUUUAUUUUAGCUUAAGACAUGGUGGAAUUGUCUGACACCAUGUUCAAUCCUUAAAUGUAUCUAGAAACCUAAAAAUCACAAAGUAUAGAGAUGACAUAGUUUUCACUGUACAGCAGUGAUACAGUAUAUUCCAUGUUUCAUUUAAAGCUUUUAAACUUUUCUUUUCUUGGCAUCAUGAGUUUUUUUUUUUCUUUCAUUGAAAAGCAUUUUAAAAACUUUGCAUCUAAAGCCACCACCUGGAAGCUAACAUAGAAUAAUGUGUGUUUUAUGUGUUGUCAGGAUGCUGAAAAUAAACAGUGAGACAGAAACAAAAAGACACGAGGAGACAUUAAUAACUAAUUACAGAGAGUUAUGAGGAAAAAUAUGAUGAUGAGUGUUAAAGUGAUGAUGUAUGUAAACACAGAUGAACUCUGAUUCCUGUGGAUGUUUGGUGGUUGUGAGUCUUUGUGGACCACAGUCAGUUUUACAGUGAGGCUUUAGCGCCCCCUCCAGGAUUUAAACAAAUACUGUAAUUGUUAUAAUUACUGUAAUGUGGCGACGGCAGUACACGCCACAGCUUCUCAUUCAUACAUC
Molecule: long non-coding RNA, 2377 nt
Organism: Lates calcarifer (barramundi perch)
Lineage: Eukaryota; Metazoa; Chordata; Actinopteri; Centropomidae
Exons: 4
Source: RefSeq, a predicted model, not a curated record